UCCUACGGGAGGCAGCAGUGGGGAAUUUUCCGCAAUGGGCGAAAGCCUGACGGAGCAAUACCGCGUGAGGGAAGAAGGCUCUAGGGUUGUAAACCUCUUUUCUCAGGGAAGAACAAAAUGACGGUACCUGAGGAAUAAGCAUCGGCUAACUCCGUGCCAGCAGCCGCGGUAAUACGGAGGAUGCAAGCGUUAUCCGGAAUGAUUGGGCGUAAAGCGUCCGCAGGUGGCAAUUUAAGUCGAUUGUUAAAGCCCAGGGCUUAACCCUGGAGGUGCAGUGGAAACUGAAAUGCUCGAGUGCGGUAGGGGCAGAGGGAAUUCCCAGUGGAGCGGUGAAAUGCGUAGAGAUUGGGAAGAACACCAGUGGCGAAAGCGCUCUGCUAGGCCGCAACUGACACUAAUGGACGAAAGCUAGGGGAGCGAAUGGGAUUAGAUACCCCAGUAGUCCUAGCCGUAAACGAUGGAUACUAGGCGUUGAGAGGAUCGACCCUCGCAGUGCCGUAGCUAACGCGUUAAGUAUCCCGCCUGGCGACGGGCCCCGGGGA
Molecule: ribosomal RNA, 542 nt
Filed under: uncultured cyanobacterium
Lineage: Bacteria; Bacillati; Cyanobacteriota
Also listed under: 1 other name
Description: bacterial SSU rRNA
Rfam family: Bacterial small subunit ribosomal RNA
Source: RNAcentral